RNAcentral lists this ribosomal RNA (301 nucleotides) under uncultured bacterium. RNAcentral's name for it is "partial 16S ribosomal RNA". It matches the Rfam family "Bacterial small subunit ribosomal RNA", at positions 509 to 809 of the family's 1533-position model. The record is from RNAcentral.
CAGUAGCCACGGUAAUACGAAGGGUGCAAGCGUUACUCGGAAUUACUGGGCGUAAAGCGUGCGUAGGCGGUGGUUUAAGUCUGCUGUGAAAGCCCUGGGCUCAACCUGGGAAUUGCAGUGGAUACUGGAUCACUAGAGUGUGGUAGAGGGAUGCGGAAUUUCUGGUGUAGCAGUGAAAUGCGUAGAGAUCAGAAGGAACAUCCGUGGCGAAGGCGGCAUCCUGGGCCAACACUGACACUGAGGCACGAAAGCGUGGGGAGCAAACAGGAUUAGAUACCCCUGUAGUCCCUGUCUCUUAUAA